UACGGAGGGGGCAAGCGUUAUUCGGAAUUAUUGGGCGUAAAGGGCGCGUAGGCGGCUAGAUGUGUCAAAGGUGAAAUCCCUCGGCUCAACUGAGGAACUGCCUUUGAAACUGUCUGGCUUGAGGCCGGGAGAGGGUAGCGGAAUUCCCAGUGUAGCGGUGAAAUGCGUAGAUAUUGGGAGGAACACCAGUGGCGAAGGCGGCUACCUGGACCGGUACUGACGCUGAGGCGCGAAAGCGUGGGGAGCAAACAGG
RNAcentral lists this ribosomal RNA (253 nucleotides) under uncultured bacterium. Its description in RNAcentral is "partial 16S ribosomal RNA". It matches the Rfam family "Bacterial small subunit ribosomal RNA", at positions 524 to 776 of the family's 1533-position model. The record is from RNAcentral.